RNAcentral lists this ribosomal RNA (251 nucleotides) under uncultured bacterium. RNAcentral's name for it is "partial 16S ribosomal RNA". It matches the Rfam family "Bacterial small subunit ribosomal RNA", at positions 524 to 774 of the family's 1533-position model. The record is from RNAcentral.
UACGUAGGGGGCGAGCGUUAUCCGGAUUUUCUGGGUGUAAAGGGAGCGUAGACGGCUGGUCAAGUCUGAAGUGAAAGCCCGGGGCUUAACCCCGGAACGGCUUUGGAAACUGAGCAGCUAGAGUGCUGGAGAGGUAAGCGGAAUUCCUAGUGUAGCGGUGAAAUGCGUAGAUAUUAGGAGGAACACCAGUGGCGAAGGCGGCUUACUGGACAGUAACUGACGUUGAGGCUCGAAAGCGUGGGGAGCAAACA